AGUGCCACCCAUGGGUGCUGACGUGCCCCCCCCCCCAGAUGGUGAUGUGGGGCCGGACGCCGAGCGGCUGAAGAGCGAAGGGGGGGAGCUGCCCCUGGAGGAGCUGCUGCGCUCGCUGCCACCCCAGGCGAUGCUGCGCCGGAACAAGCGGCCCUGGGAACCCCGCGACGAGGAUGAGGAGUUCGCUGCUGAGGACGAGGAAGGUGAGCGCCCCGGGCUGCUGCCACCCGCCACAGCUCCAGUGUCACCUGUCCCCGACUGUUGUCACCUCUUCCUGGGCUCUGUCACCUGUCCCAGGUCCCUUGUCACCCAUCCCCGACUGUUGUCACCUCUUCUUGGGCUCUGUCACCCAUCCCAGGGUUCUGUCACC
This 370-nucleotide long non-coding RNA is filed under the name Numida meleagris (helmeted guineafowl). RNAcentral's name for it is "lncRNA (ENSNMEG00000002921.1)". Lineage: Eukaryota; Metazoa; Chordata; Aves; Galliformes; Numididae. The record is from RNAcentral.